AUACGGAGGAUGCAAGCGCUAUCCGGAUUUAUUGGGUUUAAAGGGUGCGUAGGCGGUUUGCUAAGCGGGAGGUGAAAUGCCGGCGCUCAACGUCGGAAGUGCCUCCCGAACUGGUGGACUGGAAUGACUCUGCCGUGGGAGGAAUGUGUAGUGUAGCGGUGAAAUGCCUAGAGAUUACACAGAACACCGAUUGCGAAGGCAUCUCACGAAGGGUUGAUUGACGCUGAGGCACGAAAGCGUGGGGAUCAAACAGGAUUAGAUACCCUGGUAGUCCACGCAGUAAACGAUGAUGGCUAACCGCUGGUUUUUUCGGAUCAGUGGCCAAGCGAAAGCGAUAAGCCAUCCACCUGGGGAGUACGACCGCAAGGUUGAAACUCAAAGGAAUUGACGGGG
This 393-nucleotide ribosomal RNA is filed under the name uncultured bacterium. Its description in RNAcentral is "partial 16S ribosomal RNA". It matches the Rfam family "Bacterial small subunit ribosomal RNA", at positions 523 to 918 of the family's 1533-position model. The record is from RNAcentral.